This 1170-nucleotide long non-coding RNA is filed under the name Homo sapiens (human). RNAcentral describes it as "non-protein coding LINC01001:8". Lineage: Eukaryota; Metazoa; Chordata; Mammalia; Primates; Hominidae. The record is from RNAcentral.
GCUCCUACCUCCCGGCAGCCUCUCCAGGCCCAGAACUUUCUCCAGUCAGCCUCUACAGACCAAGAUCAUGACUCACAAUGGCCUAUUUAGGCCCAUACCCUACGUCACGGCAGCCUCCACAGAUGAGGCUACUGCCUCACAACAGCCUCCACAGGCACAGCUCCAUCGUUACAAUGGCCUCUUUAGACCCAGCUCCUGCCUCCCAGCCUUCUCUCCAGGCCCUGAACUUUCUCAAGUCGACCUCACCAGGCCCAGCUCCUGCAUCUUGGUGGCCCCUCCAGGCCCAGCCUCUGCCUCCCGUCAGCCUCUACAGUCCCAACGUCUGCCUCACAGCAGAUUCUUCACGCCCAGCAUCUACCUCACUGUGGACCCCCCAAGCCAAGCUCCCAACCUUUCAGCAGCUUCUACACACCCAGCUCCUGCCACCCAGUGGCCUCUUUAGGCCAAGCUCAUGCUUCACAAGGGCCUUUCCAGGCCCAACUUUUGUCUCAUGGCAACCUUCCCUGGCCAGAUUCCUGCCUGUCUCCCAGCAGCCUAGACAGGCCCAGGUCUUGCCUCACACUGGCCUCUCUACAUCCAGCUUAUGCCUCACGGUGGCCUCUCCACGCCCAACUCCUGUCCCAGGACGUCAUCUCCGGGCCCAAAACUUACUCAAGUCAAACUCUCCAGGCCCACCUUCUGCUUCCCGGUGGCAUCAACAGGCCCAGCUUUGACUUGAGAACAGCCUCUGCAGGCCCUGCUCUUGCCUCCCAGGGGCUUUUUCCAGGCCCAGCUCUUGCCUCAUGGCAGCUGCCCCAGGCCAAAUUUCUGCCUGCCUGCCAGCAGCCUCAACAGGCACAGCUCCUCCCUCACAGUGGCCCAUUUAGGCCCAACUCAUGACUGUGAGGCCAUUUCCAGGCCUAGUGCCUGCCUCGUGGCUGACUCUUGAAGCCCAAAACUUCCUCAAAUCAGGCUUUUGCCCAACUUCUGUCUACUGUCGGACUCUACAGGUCAGCCUCUGCCUCACAGUGGACCCUCCAGACCCAGAUGGUGUCUCACUGUGGCAUCCUCAGGCGAAGCUCCUGCCUUUUGGCAGCCUCUCCAGGCCCAGCUCCUCCUGCCUCCCAGUGGCCUCUUUCGGCCCAGCCCAGCUCAUGCCUCCCGGCGGCCUUCCCAAGCCCCGCUUUUGAC